UGAGGAAUAUUGGUCAAUGGGCGAGAGCCUGAACCAGCCAAGUAGCGUGCAGGAUGACGGCCCUAUGGGUUGUAAACUGCUUUUAUGUGGGGAUAAAGUGCGUGACGUGUCAUGCAUUGCAGGUACCACAUGAAUAAGGACCGGCUAAUUCAGUGCCAGCAGCCGCGGUAAUACGGAAGGUCCGGGCGUUAUCCGGAGUUAUUGGGUUUAAAGGGAGCGUAGGCUGUCUAUUAAGCGUGUUGUGAAAUUUACCGGCUCAACCGGUGGCUUGCAGCGCGAACUGGUCGACUUGAGUAUGCAGGAAGUAGGCGGAAUUCAUGGUGUAGCGGUGAAAUGCUUAGAUAUCAUGACGAACUCCGAUUGCGCAGGCAGCUUACUGUAGCAUAACUGACGCUGAUGCUCGAAAGUGCGGGUAUCAAACAGG
This 424-nucleotide ribosomal RNA is filed under the name Fusobacteriota bacterium. Its description in RNAcentral is "Fusobacteria bacterium partial 16S ribosomal RNA". It matches the Rfam family "Bacterial small subunit ribosomal RNA", at positions 355 to 776 of the family's 1533-position model. Lineage: Bacteria; Fusobacteriati; Fusobacteriota. The record is from RNAcentral.